AGAAAUACGAAAUUUAUUUUGAAAAUGAAACUACCUAUAUUCCAAUUGCAUGUGUCUUUGUUAGUAAUGCGCAUAAAGUUCUAGAAAAUUUGAUGGUAAGAGAACAGAAACGGCAUAUGGUAGACUAUCCAUAUAUCCGUACAUACAUGCAUAAUAUAUAUAUAUAUUGUUAGUUGACCUUCCCAUGCAUAGAAACAAGUGCC
RNAcentral lists this long non-coding RNA (203 nucleotides) under Mytilus galloprovincialis (Mediterranean mussel). The record is from RNAcentral. Lineage: Eukaryota; Metazoa; Mollusca; Bivalvia; Mytilida; Mytilidae.